CUGUAAUGUGCCAGUAGAACGGUGUAGUGGAGUAGAAAGUUAGUGGGUUAACUGUGUGCUUAAAACACGAAUCGUUUCAUAUUCUUACUUGGUAUUGUUAUGGUUUUUGGGUCCAAUUUAAUUCUGUUCCAUUGUUGUUAUAAAUCCUGGUUAAUUUGUAAAAGACGAACUGAUAACUUCCUUUAGCUGAAUGGAUAAAGAGAUGUGGUUCAAUGUGAAAUGAUAUUAGGUCUGUUUUAAAAAACAGAAUAACUUGUUUAUCGGCCUGUUUCUGAUUCCAUGAUCUAAAAAGUGUCAAGUUUAAAUAUUCAUAAUGGCAUUCGGAGAAUCUAAAGGUGCUGCUUUAGGAUUUGCUUUGGGGACGACUGUCUUAUUGGUAAUGUACCUUGUUGGAUUUUGUAUUCCAUAUUGGAGUAUGACCACUAAUGUAUCAUCAUUUGAAUCUACCAGGAUGUCACAUUUUGGACUAUGGAAGGCCUGUGGUGUCAGCCAUGAUAUGAUAAUAGAUGAGUUUUUGCCAAGUGAUGAAUGUUUCAGUACACUUGAACAAGGUGUUCCAGGUUGGUUAAGAGCUGUACAGUUAUUUGCUGUAUUGGUUGUAGUAUUUGGUCUGGCCAGUUGGAUUAUGUUAUGGUGGAUAACAUGUGGUAAUUUUGGAGAAGAAAGAGCCUUUCAAUUUAUGCUGCCUUGCUGGAUACUUGCAGGUAUUUGUAUGUUAGUGGCCAUUUGUAUAUUCGGUCAUUUUGUAAAACCUAAAUUAGACACGUUUGAAAUCCCGGGGAGAGUGCAGUUGGAAGAAGAAAGAAUUGAAUUUGCUUGGGGUUUUAUCUUGGUAGCUGUUACGACGGCCAUAUGGAAUGCUUUUAGUAUUGUUUUUAUUUGUAUUACUUGCUGUUGUUGAUAUGUGCCUUAAGUCCAAGGGGAGAUCGUAAUGACAGUGCUUUGAGGGAGGGUGUUAUCAGGACAGGGGGAAAUCUUGGAAAAAAUGAAGAUUAUUAAAGGGGCAUUCUUUAAAUGGGUUAAAGUAUGCAAAUCAAAUGUUAAAAAAUGUUGACAAAUAGUCCAAUUAGACUUUCUGAAAUUUUCAAAUUAACCUACCGGGUAUUGAGUUGUUUGGAAAUGAUUGCAAAAUUUACUUACUUAAUGGCCUUAUUUAACGUGUUAAAAACAACAAAGAAUUAUAUUGUUUUCUUGUAUGAGGGACUUGAUAAUCAUGACAAUUGCUUAUCUCUAUCAUUUCUGCAAAUGUAUAUACAGGAUUAUCCAGGCACUUAUUUGGCAUGGAAUUUGUCACUUGAGGUCUAACCCUUGUGGAAACUGAAAGAUUUUAUUUCAUUGAAAGAGUAUCACAGAACUUCAAAUAGUUGCACAGGGCAAGGAUAAAAAUUUCUAAAAGAUUUUCACAUCGGAUUAACCAGUUAUAUUUACCGAAAUAUAUCUGGGAUGGGUCCUUUAAUGAUAUCAAUUUACUUUUCCUGAAAAUGUUAAUCUUUUAAUUUGUUUAGUGUGCGUUAUCUAAAAUUUACAACUAAGUAAAAUCGUGAGACAUGUUUUGAAGCCACUGAUUGUCAUUUGAGAGAUUUUUGAUCCCUUGCCAACUACAAUAUUAUUAAAGUCGAAUCUGUCAAAAUUGGUUCAAUUUUGUUAUGUAUACCGGUAAAUAAGAUAAAUUCAACCUCUGCAGAUAAUAUAAACAUAACAGUGCCAGUGUUUUGUAAAUCUUUUGAUGGCCCUCUUUUUCAUCAGAUUGAAUCCAAGCAGUAAGAUUAUCUAUUGUUGAUACAUGUAUCAUGGUUUUGUUUUCUUAAUUAAAUGUCAAACUAUCAAUUCUGGUAUAUUUUAACAUGAAUUAAACUGUGAGAAAUUUGAUAUUGUCAGGAAAAUGUAUGAUUGGGAUAGACAACUUAAAAAAUCCAUGUGUAUAAAAUUAAUUUCAAAACUUGCUUCAAUAUUAUUUGAUCUCACCGUGCUAUAUUCAUUAAUUAAAACAUAACAUAUAUUUUCUGACAUCAUAAUCUCCUCCUUGACAUGUACUCUAUACCACUGUCCCCCUCCCUCAACCACUAAAACUGACUGAAAUAUGGCCACCUGACAUUCUCCAUGCCAGAAUGCUUACUUUGUCUUGUUUGUUGAAAAGUUGUGAAUUUGAAUUGACACAGGAAUUCUUUUUUUAAAAGGGUGCAGGAGCUUGGUAGACCUCCUGGCUCCAUCAUCACUGCUUUAUAUACCAGAAUUUUGUAAUUAUCAGAGGAAGUUUGCCAUUCACUGCCUUAGAGAUAACAAUAUCUCAAUCUAACAAUAUAUGUACAUGUUAAAUGUUUGUGUCCAGAAAUUUAACAUUUUCAUUCAUGUCAUCUUGUAAUGAAAUGGAUGAAAACACUUUUUUUACACAUAAUCUGAAGUCUGAAAAAUAUUACCACACAUUCAAACUCAAACUUCCCUGGUUCGAGCCACAGUGGCUCAGUGAAUAAGGUUCCGGAAUCCUGGGUUCAAUUUCCGGUGUAUGCUGCCAAAGUUCCUCUGGAUUUUCCAGAGUAGUUCCCCCGGGUGUCAGUAGUGCAUGUACACAUUGCCGUUGGAAUUCAAAUGGUUGUCUGGGCAAAAGUUCCCUUGUAGCACACUGUAUGGGGUAUACCAAUCUUCAUUAGCUUGUAGAAAUGUAGGCCUUAAAUCACAUUUCAUUCAUUCUUUCAUUCAUUUAUUCAUUCUUCCAUAAUCUCUUGGAUCCAAUUGGAACAGUGAAAUCUAGUCUGAUUUGCUCCAGUCUUGAUGUUUCCUUACACACCUUUUAAAUGUAUUAACAUCUUUUUAAUCAGUAACCUUAGUGACAUAGUCACAUGACCCGACCCACCAAAUAUUAAUUUAAUGCAAUGUUUUUAAGCAGAACAAACUAUUUAAAUAUUUCUGAAGUACUCAAACAUAAGUGUUUUUAUCCAUUUUGCUGAGUCAUUCUAUUUAAUAUAUUUGUCUUGUAAUACCGUAUACCACUCAAUAACAGCCCUGCUUCAAUAAACACCUACCUGUUUUUUGUUAUUGGAUCAAUAAUAAGGGCCUCAUAUAUGUACCUGAAGACCUGCUUCAGAAAAAUUUUGUUGGAUGUUUAUUUCAUACUAACAUAAUUUUUUAGGUUACACUUCCUUGACAGUUGCAAUCUUUAAUAUAUAACCACUGUCUUGAUACAAAAAGCAAAAAGAUAUCCAAGCUACGGGAAAAAAUACAUCUGUCACUAAAGACAUUAAAUUUUUCGAAAUAUGUUAAGAGCUGCAUGCUAUUAUGAAAUGGAUUGGGGACUAAAGUCUUGUCAACACAAUACUUCGGUUAUGGUAAAUUUAAUUUCUAUGGUUAAGUGUGCAAUGUAGGGUGAGUGGGUGGGGUGGAGGGGGGUGGGGGUCUGGAGUUUUCACCUACUCUACUUCGAAUUCCAACUGCCUAGUAUUGUUUUCAGAGUGGACGCCAGUUUGCCAUCCCCUCCAAAUGAAUAGGCACACUUUCCUUGUAAGCCUGGACAAGAGAGAACAUAUAUAUAUGUAAGACUUGUAAGACUUAUAGAUAUGUGAAUCGUACAUUUUACUAAAUACCACUAUUGUGUAUGUAAAAAUACAUAUAGUGUGUAAAGCAUGCCCCAGGGCUAUUAUUACAUCUAAUACGGUAAUUAUUGUUGUUGUAUAUAAUAUUGAAGUUUUAUGUUUUGUAUUUUUUUAUUGUAUAAUUACAUUUAGUUAUUAUAUUGGCUUUGUUAAGUUUUUGCUGUUAGAAAUUUAAUGAAAUCUAGUCUAUAUAUUGUUUUGCUCGAUAUUGUUUAGUUUUCAAAAUUUUGUUUUACUUAAAGUCAGUUUUAUUGUAUUGCAGCAGUUUUUACAUUGAAUUCUGGUUAUUAAAGACACUGAGCAUGAUUUGUAAACUAUAUUUUUAUGAAAGUUGAAUCUCUAACAGGAAUAUCUGUCCAAAUUUUGUUUAAUUUUGUUCAGAAAUGAAAUGGGGUUUAACCUCCUGGCUCCUACUGUUCUGCUCCGGCUGGGCUAAAUGAAGACGGUAAUUCGGUUCAGUAUUUACAAAGACAUGACGAAAUGAAAAUUUCAUCGAUCUUUACUGCUCCCUAUGUAGCUACUAUGCCACCAUCUUUUUUUGUUGUGAACCAAAUUGAUGGGUCUGUUUUUAAUCCUAUUGAAUCCAAGCCAGAAGAUUAUCUAGAGUUAGAAUUUAGACUUUGUUUUCUGAAUUAAAUGUUAACUAAUCAAUCUGAAAUUUUAUAUUUUCUGAAAAAUGCAAUCAUGCAUUGUUACUUUUAGUUUUAAAAUAUAAAGCCAUUUAAUUUUUGUAUUUAAUAUUCAUUUUUUUGGAAAAUUUCAUCAAUAAAAGGUAAAUAUGACGAAUAAUUGAAAGGAAAAGAAGUAUUGGUAUUUGGUAGUCAGCUAAUAAACCACAAUUUCAGUAUUUUCUACUCAAAUUGGAAUUAUUUAAAAAUAUUUAAUUCUAAAGAUAAUUUUUUUACAUUGGAAUCAUGUAAAAAAAAGAAAAGGAGGGGGAGGGGCAUAAUUAUUAGAAAUUUAUUUAGAUUUUUUUAUUUUUAAAUUUUAUUUUUAAUCUGAGUUUUAAAAUUAUGCACAAUUAUUGUUUUGUUCAUUUUAAAUUUUACUGAGAAUGUAACCAACAGUUGAUCUUUUAUGAAUUUGUAAACUCACAACUUAAACAAAAUUGGUUUAAAGAAAAUUGGUUAUUGUUGUACAGUUAUCUUUGUCUUGUAUAAUAAAAGCUAUUUUGUUUAGAA
Molecule: long non-coding RNA, 4768 nt
Organism: Patella vulgata (common limpet)
Lineage: Eukaryota; Metazoa; Mollusca; Gastropoda; Patellidae
Exons: 4
Source: RefSeq, a predicted model, not a curated record